RNAcentral lists this ribosomal RNA (822 nucleotides) under Vulpicida pinastri. Its description in RNAcentral is "SSU rRNA". It matches the Rfam family "Bacterial small subunit ribosomal RNA", at positions 360 to 1152 of the family's 1533-position model. Lineage: Eukaryota; Fungi; Ascomycota; Lecanoromycetes; Lecanorales; Parmeliaceae. The record is from RNAcentral.
AAUGUAUAGCAAUAGCUACUUGCAUCAUUGUAAAUAUGAUGCAAGAUCGACUAUGUCGAAUAAAAUUCUAGGUAGAAUUAUGAUAAUGACAUUGUCUGCCUAUGUGUCUUGACCAAAUUACGUGCCAGCAGUCGCGGUAAUACGUAGAAGACUAGUGUUAUUCAUGUUUAAUCGGUUUAAAGGGUACCUAGACGGUAAAUCAAGCCUAAAAGGAAAUAAAUGAAGGGACUAAUUUACUAGAGUUACUUAUGAGGGGGUAUUAAAGUACUGCUGGUGUAGAGAUGAAAUUCUGUCAUACCUCUUUUCAAUAGAAAAAUAAUGGCACAGGUAUAGGCGAAAGCAUCCCCUUAUGUGAUAACUGACGUUGAGGGACGAAGGCUUUGUGUAGCGAACAGGAUUAGAUACCCCAGUAGUCAAAGCAGAAAAUGAUGAAUGUCAUAGAUUAGAUAUAUAAGUUUAUUCUAUAAAUGAAAGUGUAAGCAUUCCACCUCAAGAGUAAUUUGGCAACAUUGGAACUGAAAUCAUUAGACCGUUUCUGAAACCAGUAGUGAAGUAUGUUGUUUAAUUUGAUGAUCCGCAAAAAACCUUACCACAAUUUGAAUAUUUAUAUCUUUUAUUGUUUUUCUUUUUAACUUUUUCUAAUUUUCUACUUAAAAGAAAAAAAAUAACAAGAAAAAAGAGACAAUAAGAUAUAUUUACAAGCGUUGCACGGCUGUCUUCAGUUAAUGUCGCGAGACUAUGGUUAGUUCCAUUAAAUUAACGUAAACCCUUACUUUAUUUUUAUAUAGAGUAGUUCCCCGCUAUAUUGGAUAUGAUAACAGG